UCUCUGUUAAUCUGCGCCCAUAUUUCUGGAUAUCUAUUAUGUGCAGUAAUAGGAUCUUCACCUGAAAUUACGGUUCUUAAUCUGUGAGUAAUAUUAAUAUCCCACAGAGGGAAAGUAUGCAGUUCUGAUUAAGAAGGAUUGAGAGGGUGGAAGAAGAAAAUACCGGUGCUAGGCAGGGAUUGCAGUAUGUCAUUACUUUUAUAUGCCGAGCUCCAAGAUCUUUAAUUAAUUGUUUCCAUCCAGAGUAUCUUGUUGCAUCAACUUCCCAGUUCCACCACAAUUGUGAUCCAAUUACUGUUUCUCUCUGCCCUACCCAAUCCUACACAACAUUCUUCUUUUAGAUAAGGAAUAAAUCUAAAAGAAUGUGUAUACACUUUAGAAAAACUAUAUUAUUAUGAAAGCAUGUAAUAAAUACUAUAUAUCUGUGCAUCACUUUUUGGAUUUGGCUU
Cucumis sativus (cucumber) is the source of this 449-nucleotide long non-coding RNA. RefSeq lists it as uncharacterized. The record is from RefSeq and is a predicted model, not a curated record. The transcript is spliced from 2 exons. NCBI's taxonomy places the organism in Eukaryota, Viridiplantae, Streptophyta, Magnoliopsida, Cucurbitales, Cucurbitaceae.